UCAAGCACCUAAGGGUGCUCGGUGGAUGGUUAGGCUAUCAGAGGCGAUGAAGGACGUGCUAAGCUGCGAAAAGUCUGGGGGAGCUGCACCGAAGCGACGAUCCCGGAAUGUCCGAAUGGGGCAACCCACUGAGGUGAACCCUCAGUAUCCUUCUCACGAAGGAAGCAAACCUGGUGAAUUGAAACAUCUUAGUAGCCAGAGGAAAAGAAAUCGACGAGAUUCCGCCAGUAGCGGCGAGCGACAACGGAAGAGGCCAAACCAAGGGGCUUGCUCCUUGGGGUUGUAGGGCCAGCGAUAUGGGAUCUCACAACGCGAGCAGAAGGAUCUGGAAAGAUCCGCCACAGAGGGUGAUAGGCCCGUACGCGUAGCGAAGUGAGCCCUAGCUGGUACCUGAGUAACGCAAGACUCGUGAAAUCCUGCGUGAAUCUGGGGCGACCACGCUCUAAGCCUAAAUACUCCUGAUAGACCGAUAGUGAACGAGUAGCGCGAGCGAAUACUGAAAAGCACCCCUGGCGGGGAGUGAAACAGACCCUGAAACCGAGCACUUACAAGCAGUCGUAGGACUAUGGCCUCUUAGCAAUAAGAGAGUCCAGUCUGGCGGCGUGCCUUUUGCAUAAUGACCCAGCGACUUACCGUCAGCUGCAAGCUUAAGGACUUACGGUCUGGAGGCGAAGCGAAAGCGAGUGUGAAUAGCGCGUUGAGUAGUUGGCGGUAGACCCGAAACUUAGUGAUCUAUCCAUGAGCAGGUUGAAGCGGCAGUAACAUGUCGUGGAGGACCGAACUGGUAAACCUUGAGAAGUUUUCGGAUGACUUGUGGAUAGGAGUAAAAGGCUAAUCAAACUGAGAGAUAUCUGGUUCUCCUCGAAAUAUAUAUAGGUAUAGGCUUGGGCGUGUAGUCAUCGGGGGUAGAGCACUGAAUGGGCUAGGGGCCUCACCGGGUUACCAAACCCAAUCAAACUCCGAAUACCGAUGACCGAACCCCAGGGCUCAGACAGUGGGGUAGAAUCUUCAUUGUCAAAAGGGAAAGAACCCAGACCAACAGCUAAGGUCCCAAAAUAACGCUCAGUGGUAAAGGAAGUGAUUGUGCUCAGACAGCCGGGAUGUUGGCUUAGAAGCAGCCACCAUUUAAAGAGUGCGUAACAGCUCACCGGUCGAUGCACGAUCGUGCCGAAAAUAAUCGGGGCUUAAGCGUUAUACCGAAGCUUUGGCUGCGCUGAUCUCUGCGGAGAUUCGCGCGGGGUAGGGGAGCGUUGUCUACAGGCUGAAGGCAUACGGCGACGAAUGCUGGACAGUAGACAAGUGAUUAUGCUGGGAUGAGUAACGAUAAAACAGGUGAGAAUCCUGUUCACCGUAAGCCUAAGGUUUCCUCCGCAAGGUAAGUCCGCGGAGGGUCAGGCGGCCCCUAAGGCGAGGCCGAAAGGCGUAGUCGAUGGAUUGCCGGUUAAUAUUCCGGCCCUUCUCACGAGGUGCCCACGGAGAACGCAGGAGACUAAGAUGGUGGAGGCUGAAGCUGCCCCACAUCGGUAUCGAGUUUGCCCUUUUGAAAGAUGGGGCGCACAUUCGGUAUCGAUCAAGAGCCUUGUGCUUUAUAGGCAUCUGAUGUCACCCUGUCGAGAAAAGCCCGUCGGGAGAUAACGUUGUGGGAAACCGUACUAAAACUGACACAGGUAGGCGAGGAGAGUAUCCUCAGGUGCGCGAGAGAACUCUGGUUAAGGAACUCGGCAAAUUCACUCCGUACGUUCGCAAGAAGGAGUGCCGGCGCAAGCCGGCCGCAGUGAAGAGGCCCAACCGACUGUUUACUAAAAACACAGUUCUGUGCAAACUCGUAAGAGGACGUAUACGGAAUGAUGCCUGCCCGGUGCUCGAAGGUUAAGGGGAGUGGUUAGUCGCAAGACGAAGCUACGAACUCAAGCCCGAGUAAACGGCGGCCGUAACUAUGACGGUCCUAAGGUAGCGAAAUUCCUUGUCGGGUAAGUUCCGACCUGCAUGAAAGGCAUAACGAGUUGGGCACUGUCUCAACCAGAGACUCGGUGAAAUUGCAAUAUCGGCGAAGAUACCGAUUACCCGCAGCAGGACGAAAAGACCCCGUGGACCUUUACUGCAGCCUAAUACUGUGUUUCUGUGACUCAUGCGUAGGAUAGGUGGGAGGCGUUGAUCUCGUGGUUCCGGCUACGAGGGAGCCAACGGUGAAAUACCACUCUUGAGUCAUGGGAAUUCUAACCUGGCCUUUGUACGGCUGGGAACACUGUUAGGCGGGCAGUUUGGCUGGGGCGGCUUCCUCCCAAAGAGUAACGGAGGAGCACAAAGGUUAGCUCAGUACGGUUGGCAAUCGUACGUGGAGUGCAAGAGCAUAAGCUAGCUUAACUGCGAGACUGAUCAGUCGAGCAGACGCGAAAGCGGGUUCUAGUGAUCCGGUGGUUCCAAGUGGACGGGCCAUCGCUCAACAGAUAAAAGGUACCCCGGGGAUAACAGGCUGAUCUCCCCCAAGAGUCCCUAUCGACGGGGAGGUUUGGCACCUCGAUGUCGGCUCAUCGCAUCCUGGAGCUGGAGAAGGUUCCAAGGGUAUGGCUGUUCGCCAUUUAAAGCGGUACGCGAGCUGGGUUUAAACCGUCGUGAGACAGGUUGGUCUCUAUCCGCUGUGGGCGCAGGUCAAUUGACGGGACUUUUCAUUAGUACGAGAGGAUUAUGAAGAACGUCGCUCUGGUGUACCGGUUGUUCCGCUCGGAGCAGCGCCGGGUAGCCACCGACGGACGGGAUAAACGCUGAAAGCAUCUAAGCGUGAAGCCCACCCGAAGAUUAAUUGACCCUAUGAGUGCCCUGGAAGACUACCAGGUUGAUAGGUUGGAGGUGUACGCGCGUAUAUCUAAAGGCGCUCAGCUGACCAAUACUAAUCGCACCAUCGGCUUGAUCGU
RNAcentral lists this ribosomal RNA (2912 nucleotides) under Planctomycetota bacterium. Its description in RNAcentral is "Planctomycetes bacterium (soil metagenome) 23S ribosomal RNA". It matches the Rfam family "Bacterial large subunit ribosomal RNA". Lineage: Bacteria; Pseudomonadati; Planctomycetota. The record is from RNAcentral.